UUUGGUUGCAUUGGGUCUUCGUUGCUGCACGUGGGCUUUCUCUAGUUGCGGUGAGUGGGGGCUACUCUUUGUUGCGGUGUGUGGGCUUCUCAUUGCAGUGGCUUCUCUUGCUGUGGAGCACGGGCUCUAGGUGCAUGGGCUUCAGUAGUUGUGGCGCACAGGCUUCAGUAGUUGUGGCUCGCGGGCUCUAGAGUGCAGGCUCAGUAGUUGUAGCGCACAGGUUUAGUUGCUCUGCGGCAUGUGGGAUCUUCCUGGACCAGGGCUUGAACCCGUGUCCCCUACAUUGGCGGGCGGAUUCUUAACCACUGCACCCACCAGGGAAGUCCCUCAUUAAUUUUAAAGAACAUUUUGAUUACACGUUGAAAGGACAAUAUUUUGGAUAUAUUGAGUUAAGUGAAUAUAUUAAGUGAAUAUAUUAAGAUUAAUUUUACCAGUUCCUUUUUGCUUUUUAAAAUGUGGUUAACAGAAAAUGUAAAAUUAUGGACGUAGCUUGCAUUAUAUUCUAUAGGACAGCCUGACCUAGAGGGAUGAGUUGCAUCAGUCUUUUCUGUGCUCUAGGCUGCUUGUGCUGAUCUUGUAGAGACGUGACCUAAAAUUACCUCUGACCGCAGAACACAUGCUGGCCUAUCAUCUUACCACAGAUGUGUCUGUUGGCCAAGGAGGACUUAAAGUGGGGAUGGUUCAGCAUAAACCCUAUCUCAGUACUGGAAAAAUUCAAAGUACCCGCACACUGAAAGACAGCAUACCUCCUCGCCUUUCUCCUUCAGUGACCUCAUUCUCUCUGCUACAGUCAACUGCUGCUCUGUGUUGCUGACUCCUGGAUAGACAUUUCUGGCCUGGCCUUGGCUGAUGAGUGACAAAGCCCAAGACGAAAGCUGUCUGGUGGACACUGCCAUAUGGCGAGCUCGUUCAUGCCUCAAAUUAAACUUGUCAAAACUGCUACUCAUCCCUUCAUUUAAAGAUGCUGAUUGUUGCCUCUCUGGAUUGCCAUUGAGACAGAGCUGUCCACCAUCAACAAUCCUCAGUAUUUAUGAAGAAUCUCAGCUGUUCAUACUUCAGUAUAAAUGAAGGCAUUUUGUAAUGACCUGCCUGGUGUUUUAGAAUCUUAUCUUCCCCACUGACCCUGACAUGGGGCAAAGAGGAGGGAAUUUAAAAAGUCCUAGCUAACUUGGAUGAGCACUUUGUCGUGGAUAACGUCUCUAUCUAGGUGUCAGCACUCCUGGUAUAUUCUGCUCCUCUUUGGACAUAUCAACAGAAAGAAACCUAGAGGUUUACUUGAUCAAGAACCUCAAUGAGUGAUGAGAACAUUUCCUGUUCUCCCAGACACUUCUAAUUCUUCCUGUUGCCACCUAUCUUCAACAGAAAAGCAACUGAUCAUGGAAGCAAGCAGUUGUCGCCUUGCCCUGCAUGAGGAUAGGGACCGAUGUCUGCACCAUCUCAUCCCCAUUUGCUGACUGAACGAACCUUUGUAAGAGUCUCCUGUUUUCUCUGAAGGGUAGCAGAAUAUGCUACUCCAAAAUAUGACUGGAGAAGGACGUGCUACUGCAAAAUAUGCUGCUUUGUUAUACUGAGUAUCUUGACUGUAGGCACGUGAAAAACAGCAAAUGCAGGGAGAGGCUUUCUCUGAACUCCCCUUAUCUGCCUACGGACAGAUCCUCCCAAAGGAACUCAACUGCCAUAAAUCCCCUUCCUGGGAGUUUCAUCAACCAGAGAGGCUUGACACUUGUCACAGGAGAGACUAGAAGUCAAUACCACGCCUAGACAGACAUUGUCACAGACUGUCACAACUCCCAUCUAUUCUUCUAAGGGGCCGUUCAUCUGUCCUUAAAAUCAUUCACUCUCCCCUAAGAGACCUACCACUCCCCUCCCCCUUCCCUAUUAAGAUGUUAUUUAAUCCCGAAUUCUAAGUCACCUUGGGGAUUCAUUUUUUCCCUGGGUAUCUCCCAUGUAUACCUGAGGGAUACAUUAAUAAAUUUGUUUGUUUUUCUCUUAUUAAUCUGUUUUUCA
Molecule: long non-coding RNA, 2007 nt
Organism: Physeter macrocephalus (sperm whale)
Lineage: Eukaryota; Metazoa; Chordata; Mammalia; Artiodactyla; Physeteridae
Exons: 5
Source: RefSeq, a predicted model, not a curated record